AGUGAACGCUGGCGGUAGGCCUAACACAUGCAAGUCGAACGGCAGCACAGUAAGAGCUUGCUCUUACGGGUGGCGAGUGGCGGACGGGUGAGGAAUACAUCGGAAUCUACUUUUUCGUGGGGGAUAACGUAGGGAAACUUACGCUAAUACCGCAUACGACCUACGGGUGAAAGCAGGGGAUCUUCGGACCUUGCGCGAUUGAAUGAGCCGAUGUCGGAUUAGCUAGUUGGCGGGGUAAAGGCCCACCAAGGCGACGAUCCGUAGCUGGUCUGAGAGGAUGAGAAGCCACACUGGAACUGAGACACGGUCCAGACUCCUACGGGAGGCAGCAGUGGGGAAUAGUGGACAAUGGGCGCAAGCCUGAUCCAGCCAUACCGCGUGGGUGAAGAAGGCCUUCGGGUUGUAAAGCCCUUUUGUUGGGAAGGAAAAGCAGCAGGUUAAUACCCCGCUGUUCUGACGGUACCCAAAGAAUAAGCACCGGCUAACUUCGUG
This 492-nucleotide ribosomal RNA is filed under the name uncultured bacterium. Its description in RNAcentral is "partial 16S ribosomal RNA". It matches the Rfam family "Bacterial small subunit ribosomal RNA", at positions 29 to 507 of the family's 1533-position model. The record is from RNAcentral.